RNAcentral lists this ribosomal RNA (468 nucleotides) under uncultured bacterium. RNAcentral describes it as "partial 16S ribosomal RNA". It matches the Rfam family "Bacterial small subunit ribosomal RNA", at positions 28 to 507 of the family's 1533-position model. The record is from RNAcentral.
GACGAACGCUGGCGGCGUGCUUAAUACAUGCAAGUCGAACGGAAAGGCCCUGCUUUUGUGGCGUGCUCGUGUGGCGAAGGGGUGAGUAACACGUGAGGAUCACGCCCCUGACAUUGGGGUAACAUUACGAAACUGCGGCUAAUACCGGAGAGGAGCUUCUGCUGCACGUUGUGGGUAGGAAAGUUUCGGCGGUUGGGGAUGGUCUCGCGGCUUAUCCGCUUGUUGGUGGAGUAGUUGAUGACCAAGGCUUUGACGGGUAGCCUGCCUGAGAGGUCGGCCGGCCACAUUGGGACUGAGGUAGGGACCAGUCUCCUACGGGAGGCAGCAGUCGAAAGUCUUACGCAAUGGGGGGAAGCCAGAUACAAAGACGCCGCGAGCGUGAUGACGGCCUACGGGUUGUAAACCGCUUUCGCAUGUAACGAAGCGUGAGUGACGGUAAUGGGUAAGGAAGCACCGGCUAACUACGUG